GUCGAACGGAAAGGUCUCUUCGGAGACACUCGAGUGGCGAACGGGUGAGUAACACGUGGGUAAUCUGCCCUGCACUUCGGGAUAAGCCUGGGAAACUGGGUCUAAUACCGGAUAGGACCUCGGGAUGCAUGUCCUGUGGUGGAAAGCUUUUGCGGUGUGGGAUGGGCCCGCGGCCUAUCAGCUUGUUGGUGGGGUGAUGGCCUACCAAGGCGACGACGGGUAGCCGGCCUGAGAGGGUGUCCGGCCACACUGGGACUGAGAUACGGCCCAGACUCCUACGGGAGGCAGCAGUGGGGAAUAUUGCACAAUGGGCGCAAGCCUGAUGCAGCGACGCCGCGUGGGGGAUGACGGCCUUCGGGUUGUAAACCUCUUUCACCAUCGACGAAGGUCCGGGUUUUCUCGGAUUGACGGUAGGUGGAGAAGAAGCACCGGCCAACUACGUGCCAGCAGCCGCGGUAAUACGUAGGGUGCGAGCGUUGUCCGGAAUUACUGAGCGUAAAGAGCUCGUAGGUGGUUUGUCGCGUUGUUCGUGAAAUCUCACGGCUUAACUGUGAGCGUGCGGGCGAUACGGGCAGACUGGAGUACUGCAGGGGAGACUGGAAUUCCUGGUGUAGCGGUGGAAUGCGCAGAUAUCAGGAGGAACACCGGUGGCGAAGGCGGGUCUCUGGGCAGUAACUGACGCUGA
RNAcentral lists this ribosomal RNA (685 nucleotides) under uncultured Actinomycetes bacterium. RNAcentral describes it as "bacterial SSU rRNA". It matches the Rfam family "Bacterial small subunit ribosomal RNA", at positions 61 to 749 of the family's 1533-position model. The record is from RNAcentral. Lineage: Bacteria; Bacillati; Actinomycetota; Actinomycetes.